Long non-coding RNA from Oxyura jamaicensis (ruddy duck), 3350 nucleotides. RefSeq lists it as uncharacterized. NCBI's taxonomy places the organism in Eukaryota, Metazoa, Chordata, Aves, Anseriformes, Anatidae. The transcript has 4 exons. The record is from RefSeq and is a predicted model, not a curated record.
UUCUGUGGUUCUAGCAAGAUUCUAAUGUUUUCCAGGAGCCAGAUGUGUUUAGAUCACAGUGGAGGACACAGUACUAAGUAAUGGCUGCGGGAUGCAGGUGUGAGUAUAAUACAGCAGCCUCGGGUAAUGGAACUCAAAAAAGAAAUGCCCCUUCUGCUGUGGCCGCAGGAGGGGAUGAGCAGCUUUCUGAGACUUGGAGGUAGGGAAGAAGGAUUCAGACUGCCAAAGGCUGGAGAAGCUGCUUUUCUUACUAGUGCUGUGAUUUUUUUUUUGGCAGUUCUUGGAAUGAAUUUCAACAUGUAUGGUUCUCUUUAUAGCCACAUCUAACAUGUUGUAUAUCAGGAAACAGUACAGAAAGGUUAGGUGGCGUUUAACCUUUCUUACAGCUCAUGCAAGAAAAACAACAGGUAAAUUCUGAGAUUGUUUUUUAACAAGGUGCACCUACCUUUUUUUUUUUUUAUUGUUUUUAAGCAACCUUCCACUACUUAAAUUCUUUGCUGCUCUUUUAUAUUUCUCUGUGAAACUCCAGUGCUAAAAAUGGAAUUUUGUAUGUCUGUUGAGGCUAUGGCCCUCUAACUGUACUAAAUCCAUGUAUUUUGUAUGUGUUACCAGACAACUGAAGCGAGCUGCCAGCACUGUUGCUGGCUCUUAGUUCUUGAAGUGAGAACUAUCUUUUUGUAGAUAGACCGUGCUCUUUUUUUUUUUUUUUUUAAAUUUGAUUUAAGGACUUUUCUUCAAUUGAUUGAACUUUUACCAUGUACAUUGAUGAUUAUUUUUUUUAAAAGAAACUUUGUUUGUUUGCUCAAUUCCUGUGUGAAAUAAUGGGCCCUCGUAGUUUUGCAGGCAAGGGCUACAUUGUCUUCUGUUUGUGCAGGGUUUAUAAGAUGAUGUGCUGCUGUUGUGAUUUGUUUUAAUAAGCUAAUUUCAGCAAUAUGUUCAGCUCUGGAAGUAAGCCAUAUCACAUCGCUGGGUUUCAUUUCAGAAGAGGAAUGGGUAGGGCGUGAAAUGACCAGAAACACUUGCUUCAAGUGCUGCUGUCUAGAGCUUUGUGUGUGUGAUCCACUAGUUCAGUAACGCGCAUUUCAGAUCUUUAUUAAUUCAGCUGUGUUCAUUGCUCUUACCUGAGGAGAGAGACCACACAGCGUUACUCAGAGUAGUUAAUUUAUUGGUGCAUAGUAAACAAGGCCACCUUUGUGGUAAAAGUGUAGGAAUAACAUCCCCCCCUCUGAUGCCGUGCGUGCUUCGCGUGGGAAGCGGGGCAGUGCCCCAGGCAGCCCUCACUCCUCCGGAGCUCUGCCUUCCAGCCAUGACCAGGAGUUGUUUGACAACUUUCAAUUUAAAAGAAUCAGGGUUUAUUCUGAGUUACAGGCAGCAAAUCCCGGGAUACUGCAUCAGAAAAGCAGGGUUUUACUAUCAGGGUGUGGUACUUGAACCUGGUUGAAGAAAUGUGGAAGGAAAGGUUUCCCUAGUGAGAGGUGAGCCAAAAGCCCGCUCUUCUGCACUGGCAAGCACAGCUGGAGGUUUCUCCCCUUUCUCCUUUUCUUUGUUUUACCUCUAAACUUUCAGAGGUGCUGUAAAAUUCCCUGAGGCUAAAUGUUUUAUGUAUAGUAGGUAUUUUUAUAGCCUGCUUUUGAAUAUACUGUGAUGAAUGUUUUACUAAGUGGGUGUUCAGUAAAAAGAGUUGUAUACAAGUGUAAAUAAACUGUUAUGCUGAUACUUGAAGAGAAAAAAAUUAUGAAGUUGUCUGUUCUGCUUUAGGAAGGUACUUAAACCAUUGACUGCGUCCGACCCUUUCUAGCUGGUAAGAGCAAAUGUAGACAAUGAAUGUAAAUUUGAAGCAGUUCUCCCCAGUGCCUGGCUACCUUCCUGGGGAGGCACUGUUAAGAAUGGCAGAUCAUCGUCCCUGUCUAAAAGCUGCGUACCUUCUCCCCUCCUGUUCCUGACCAUGCAAUACUGACCGAUCUGUCACUGAUAGGGGAGGUAAAAAUCGUUGUCCUGGCCUUGCAUAUUUAUACCCAUGUGUAUUUUACUACCUUUUGACUGUUAGUACACUUGCUAGCUCAGAUGCAGUCUUUAGAAUGGGGUUAAACUAUCUUUUCUUACAUCAUUGGCCUUCGUUGUAAUCUUUCAGACAAAUGUAAUCAUUUGACGUUUGAUCCAAGUAAUAAAGAUCAAAUGCUACACCUUGCACUGCUGUGUUUCUUUCUGUGUCUGUUACAGUAGCUGAAGUGCCAGGUGAGGGUUCCUGCAGGUCAGCUGAUUUCCACAGCUUGCUGAAGUGCAGGAAUUGUAGCUUGUUUAAAACAGCUUAUACAGUGACAGAAGAGUAAAGCAGCUGGUAGAAUAACUUUACUCAGAUAAAAUAACUGUAAUUUAAGUAACAAACUCAGUAACUGAGGGAAAAGUUGGAAGAAUGCAUUAAAUAAAAGCACAUCAAGAUUUGUCCACACAGUGGAGCAGAAAGUCUUCCAGAUGCUGCUGGUAUUUUUCAGAAGGCUGAAAAUCAACAGCAAAACGCUGCCUUCUGGUGGCCCUCGGGCACAGCUGUUCAGUGGAGGCAGUCCAGAGGCUGUGCAACUGUACAGACCUGCGGUGCUCUCAUUUCUGGUCGCUCCAACCUGAGCAGGCUCCUGUGGCAGGAUUCUUAAACUUCCAGAGCCCCUCUGUAUGCGAAAAUGCAACAUGAAGCCUCCUGUUCUCAAAGGGAAUGCCUCUCCUGCAUCAAGUAUGUAAGCACUCUUUAAAAUGUACUUUACUUUGAGAUUGUUUUAUCCAUUCUGGUACUGGGGUGGAGGAAAACUGAUCUGAAUUUUUAAUGGCUUGUGACGAAGCAGUGGAAGCCUGUGGUGACAAAGAUCAAGCAAUGCAUGGUUUGUUCUUUACACACUUUUUCAGGUAACACUAGGGAUGUACAUUCGAAAUAGCUCUAAGUUCACCAGUAUGGAGAAUGCAUCUUUUUCUGAGCUGGUCUAGUUCAAGUUAACUAUCAGUAAGCACUAACAGUGCUAUCAGCAGCGCUAACAUCAAUGCAUACAAAACAUUGCAUUCCUCUGUUGAUCUGAAAAGGAUGGAUAUCAGCACUAUUCAUUAUUUUCCUGAAGACAGCGGUAGUGAAGAAGUUCCUUAAAGCUGUAUAGGAAGAUGGUCUUAAUUGGAAGAUUUUAGGGUAGAAAAGAUUUAAGGUUUCAGAAUAAACUACCGUAAGGAUGUUUUGAGCAAGUUGGAGGAUUCAGCCAUCAGCCCUAGGCCGAUGACCAGCAGACACAUGCAGCACUGUUACAGGAACACAGAAUAAUCCACGUACCACUUUUGGCCUGAAAGGAGGGUCUACCUCCCUCUUCUCUAACGCU